Molecule: long non-coding RNA, 449 nt
Organism: Salvia splendens (bonfire salvia)
Lineage: Eukaryota; Viridiplantae; Streptophyta; Magnoliopsida; Lamiales; Lamiaceae
Exons: 2
Source: RefSeq, a predicted model, not a curated record
GCCGGGCCAUAUGUUGAGUCGAACUCCUACAAAUACCACAAAUGCUCGUCAUAUCUACUCUAAGGAGUACUAAUAACCUCGAUGCAUAUGAAUUAUAUCAGGUCUGAUCCACAUAAACAAGCUGCCAAUACAAGAAAUAGCAUCAAUUCCACAAGCACAGAGUGGGUUUGUAGUACAAAUACACAAGCUCAGAAUUUGCUAUGAACUGACCCCCUAAUUUAGAAAAUGCAUAGAGAAAUACUAGAUCCUUCUUGUAUCCUGAUUUUUUCAAACUAAGUUUCUUCCUAUAUUACUACUGAUUUUUUAUUCAAAAAGUUGAUUACCAUAGGAAGCAUUCAUGUUGCUGAAUUGAGAACUGAUUGCUAGGGCUUUUAAUGAUAUCAUCAUAGAAUGUAAAUGUAUUCUGUUACCAUCACACAUCUCAAAUAUCACCACCUUCCUUUUCUAUA